CCUACGGGGGGCAGCAGUGGGGAAUAUUGCACAAUGGGCGCAAGCCUGAUGCAGCCAUGCCGCGUGUAUGAAGAAGGCCUUCGGGUUGUAAAGUACUUUCAGCGGGGAGGAAGGUGUUGUGGUUAAUAACCACAGCAAUUGACGUUACCCGCAGAAGAAGCACCGGCUAACUCCGUGCCAGCAGCCGCGGUAAUACGGAGGGUGCAAGCGUUAAUCGGAAUUACUGGGCGUAAAGCGCACGCAGGCGGUCUGUCAAGUCGGAUGUGAAAUCCCCGGGCUCAACCUGGGAACUGCAUUCGAAACUGGCAGGCUAGAGUCUUGUAGAGGGGGGUAGAAUUCCAGGUGUAGCGGUGAAAUGCGUAGAGAUCUGGAGGAAUACCGGUGGCGAAGGCGGCCCCCUGGACAAAGACUGACGCUCAGGUGCGAAAGCGUGGGGAGCAAACAGGAUUAGAUACCCCAGU
This 461-nucleotide ribosomal RNA is filed under the name uncultured bacterium. RNAcentral describes it as "bacterial SSU rRNA". It matches the Rfam family "Bacterial small subunit ribosomal RNA", at positions 338 to 791 of the family's 1533-position model. The record is from RNAcentral.